GGUGAUGGUCCUUUUUGGACCACACUGGCAGUGUGGGGGUCAGGGGUUCGAAUCCCCUCAGCUCCA
Molecule: transfer RNA, 66 nt
Filed under: Kibdelosporangium phytohabitans
Lineage: Bacteria; Bacillati; Actinomycetota; Actinomycetes; Pseudonocardiales; Pseudonocardiaceae
Description: Kibdelosporangium sp. KLBMP 1111 tRNA
Rfam family: tRNA
About the family: Transfer RNA (tRNA) molecules are approximately 80 nucleotides in length. Their secondary structure includes four short double-helical elements and three loops (D, anti-codon, and T loops).
Source: Rfam by way of RNAcentral